RNAcentral lists this non-coding RNA (202 nucleotides) under Dialister sp. RNAcentral describes it as "T-box sequence". It matches the Rfam family "T-box leader". Rfam says of the family: Uncharged tRNA acts as the effector for transcription antitermination of genes in the T-box leader family. Lineage: Bacteria; Bacillati; Bacillota; Negativicutes; Veillonellales; Veillonellaceae. The record is from RNAcentral.
UGAAAAGCGAUGAAUGGGACAAAGUAAAUUGUGGUCCAUGCCUCAGAGAGCCGGUGUAUGGUGCAAACCGGUGCAUUCCAGGAUUUAAUAUCACCCGUGAGCUCCUUUGCCGAAAUAAGUAGAUGAAGGCGUCUGUCCACGUUACGGAUGAAAACACUUGAGUAUAAUGUAGGGUGGUACCGCGAAUCCUUUCGCCCCUGUU